GGGGAAUUUUUCGCAAUGGGGGAAACCCUGACGAAGCAACGCCGCGUGGAGGAUGAAGGCCUUCGGGUCGUAAACUCCUGUCGACCGGGACGGACGUAGUCCGACCCAAUACGUCGGGCUAUCGACUGUACCGGUGGAGGAAGCCACGGCUAACUCUGUGCCAGCAGCCGCGGUAAUACAGAGGGUGCGAGCGUGGUUCGGAAUUAUUGGGCGUAAAGGGCGCGUAGGCGGUGUGGUAAGUCACCUGUUAAAUCUCCGGGCUUAACUCGGAGCUUGCAGGCGAAACUGCCGUGCUGGAGUGUGGGAGAGGUGCGUGGAAUUCCCGGUGUAGCGGUGAAAUGCGUAGAUAGCGGGAGGAACACCUGUGGCGAAAGCGGCGCACUGGACCACAACUGACGCUGAGGCGCGAAAGCUAGGGGAGCAAAC
Molecule: ribosomal RNA, 426 nt
Filed under: uncultured bacterium
Lineage: Bacteria
Description: bacterial SSU rRNA
Rfam family: Bacterial small subunit ribosomal RNA
Source: RNAcentral